GACGAACGCUGGCGGCGUGCCUAAUACAUGCAAGUCGAACGAGAGCGACCGGUGCUUGCACUGGUCAAUCUAGUGGCGAACGGGUGAGUAACACGUGGGUAACCUGCCCAUCAGAGGGGGAUAACAUUCGGAAACGGAUGCUAAAACCGCAUAGGUCUUCGAACCGCAUGGUUUGAAGAGGAAAAGAGGCGCACGCUUCUGCUGAUGGAUGGACCCGCGGUGCAUUAGCUAGUUGGUGAGGUAACGGCUCACCAAGGCCGUGAUGCAUAGCCGACCUGAGAGGGUGAUCGGCCACAUUGGGACUGAGACACGGCCCAAACUCCUACGGGAGGCAGCAGUAGGGAAUCUUCCGCAAUGGACGCAAGUCUGACGGAGCAACGCCGCGUGAGUGAAGAAGGUUUUCGGAUCGUAAAACUCUGUUGUUAGAGAAGAACAAGUGCUAGAGUAACUGUUAGCGCCUUGACGGUAUCUAACCAGAAAGCCACGGCUAACUACGUG
RNAcentral lists this ribosomal RNA (498 nucleotides) under uncultured bacterium. RNAcentral describes it as "partial 16S ribosomal RNA". It matches the Rfam family "Bacterial small subunit ribosomal RNA", at positions 28 to 507 of the family's 1533-position model. The record is from RNAcentral.